Molecule: small RNA, 1157 nt
Filed under: Pongo abelii (Sumatran orangutan)
Lineage: Eukaryota; Metazoa; Chordata; Mammalia; Primates; Hominidae
Description: retained intron
Source: RNAcentral
GUGGGCGGCGGGACGCACUGCGGACCCCGGAGAGGGCGGACGAGCCGGGCGCCGGCGCCAUGGACCUGGUCAUCACGCAGGAGCUGGCCCGCGCCGAGAGCCAGCAAGAUGCUGCGUCCUUGAAGAAGGCCUACGAGUUGAUCAAAUCGGCCAACCUAGGGAAAUCGGAGUUUGACCCCUCAGAGAGCUUCAGCCCAGACCUGUUUGUUCUGUGUGCAGAGCAGGCCCUUAAGAUGGGGCAGCCAGAGGUGAGCGAGGACUGCAUCCAAAUGUACUUCAAGGUGAAGGCGCCCAUCACCCAGUUUCUGGGCCGAGCGCACCUGUGCAGGGCCCAGAUGUGUGCCCCGAAGUCGGCAGAAAACCUGGAGGAAUUUGAAAAUUGCGUGACUCAGUACAUGAAGGCCAUAAACUUUGCCAAAGGAGAACCGAGGUAUUACUUUUUGGUGUACAAUGCAUCAGUCCUCUACUGGCAGAUGGCGAGGCCGUUCCUCAAGCCUGGAUAUUGUCACCAUCUGAUCCCCAGCCUUUCCCAAAUCGUAAACGUGCUGAGUCAGACUGAGGAGGAAGACAAGGAGUGGCGCGCCGAGCUGAUGCUGGAACUUCUGGAGUGUUAUCUGCAAGCCGGAAGAAAGGAGGAGGCUGCCAGGUUCUGCUCCACCGCAGCUCCGUUCAUGAAGUCUCACGUGCCGCAGAAAUACCGGCAGAUAUUCUCCGUUAUGGUAAAUCAGCGUAUUAGAAAUAGAGACGUAAGAAGUAAUUUUCUUAAAAGUCAUUGUUCAGAAAGCUGCAUAGGAAUUACAUGAGUUUGCUGAGAGAUACAAAAAUCUAUGUGCAUACAUACAUGGACAAAAAUAUAUAAACAUAUUAAAAAGAAAUAGCAGUUCAUCCAAUGCGAAGAUGUAUAGAACUGUGACAUUUUGAAAAUAAAACAGGGUCUUUUGCCUUUAUCGUCGCUCUUUAAAUAUUUCCUUUGUAAUAGCUUUUAAUUUUUUUAAAGUUAAUAGAAAAUUCGCAAAGAUACAAGUAAUUACUACAAGAAUAUGUACCAAAAGCAUUCAUCAGCAAUUCCUUUUGACAUAUGGGGAAUCAGCUUAAGUUGUAUCUGAAAAGCUAGAUACAAAAUUUAAUUAAUGAGAAGAUAAAAUCUAGACACAAAA